UGUCCGGAAGAUGAAUAAAAUAUCUACUCUCACUCUUUCUUCGGCUUCCUUCUUCUCUACACGCACAUGGCCGAAAGUUGGUCCUUCCGUCUUUCUGUUACACGUAAUGGGAGUGAAGACGACCACCCAAACCCCAAUGUUUUACCAUGUAGUCGUUUAAAAACAAAAUGUUUGAAGAGCUCCCCAAUGAAGAUUUCCACCAAGAAGUCCUAUUUCAAGAGUGGCCCAAAUUGAGGAUAUCAGGAACAUGGCUGGAUGCAACAGAGAUGGCAUCGUGCACAAGUAGUUCUAUCAAGACUGAGUGGUCCAAAUUGAGGACAUCAGGAACAUGACUGGAUGCAAGAGAGAUGUGCAUGAUGCCAAGUCGUACUUCAAGAGCGGCCCAAAUUGAGGAUAUCAGGAACAUGACCGAAUGCAACAGAGAUGGCAUCGUGCACAAUUAGUCCUAUCAAGACUAAGUGGUCCAAAUUGAGGAUAUCAGGAACAUGGCUGGAUGCAACAGUGAUGGCCUUGUGCACAAAAAGUCCUAUUUCAAGAUGGCCCAAAUUGAGGAUAUCGGGAACAUGGCUGAAUGCAACCGAUGGCACCACGAAGGGAAGGCGUACUUGGGACAAGUUGAGAAAUGUCUUGACAUGACCUGAUUGCACAGCGCACCGAACAAUGACUAGUCCACCUUGGGAUCCAACGGGGGCGGGCUGGAUGUGAGCACUGGUGAUUUUGUGAUUUGCUGCCAUUAAACUUCAGCCUGUGACACUUGUUAAAGCCUUUUAAGAUUCAGGACUAAAUUGAUGGAAUAUUGUUUGCAUUUUAUGGAACAAUAAAGAAUUGAAGUUAGACAUGGCAAUUAAAGGGUUGAGGUCAGUAUGUUGAGAAA
Doryrhamphus excisus (bluestripe pipefish) is the source of this 874-nucleotide non-coding RNA. Lineage: Eukaryota; Metazoa; Chordata; Actinopteri; Syngnathiformes; Syngnathidae. The record is from RefSeq and is a predicted model, not a curated record.